UUUCCGUAGGUGAACCUCCGGAAGGAUCAUUGUCGAAGCCUGCCCAGCAGAACAACCCGCGAACUUGUAUAAACAACCGGGGGCAGGGGCGAUCUCGCCCCGUGCCCUCGAACGGCAGGGAGACACUCGUGCCUUCUUGUCGAACAACAAACCCCGGCGCGGUCUGCGCCAAGGAACUUCAAUUAAAGAGUGCCUCCGGUCGCCUCGGAAACGAUGCGCGUGUCGGAGGCGAAUCUUGUACAAAACCAUAACGACUCUCGGCAACGGAUAUCUCGGCUCUCACAUCGAUGAAGAACGCAGC
RNAcentral lists this unclassified non-coding RNA (301 nucleotides) under plant metagenome. RNAcentral describes it as "partial contains small subunit ribosomal RNA, internal transcribed spacer 1, and 5.8S ribosomal RNA". The stretch from base 253 to 301 matches the Rfam family "5.8S ribosomal RNA", at positions 1 to 49 of the family's 154-position model. The record is from RNAcentral.